GGCGAGUAAAUUGGGAUGCAAACCGUAUAUUACCUCCUUAUUCCAGUAGACUACUUUUAAGUAAUUCACCUUCCCUAGCAAACCGUAGAACGAUGCUUGGAUAAGUUCUUAUAUAUAAGCUUAUUCGAGGUGAAGUUGAGAGUCCAGACUUGGUUAGUUAGGUUUAUCAAAUUAGACUUUAUCCUAUUAUUUGUAAUCUUCACUCUCUGCCGCUCUAAAAAUAACCUUUUGUAAUAAUAAUUAGAUCCUAAUUACACUAAUAUUUAUUAAAGUUUUUUUACAUUAGAUUAAUUUCCUCGUUUCUGUUCUCUUUUCAAUAUCGCGUCUAUCUUCUCGCGAAUCGAGCUGUACGCUACACGGCAGCGUCCCUCGGUCGGUUGGGCGGGAGGUGUGGCCGUAGGACCCAUGCAAAAAAAAAACACUAUGCACCAGACCAAUACAAUUCGUGGUAGAGGCCACUUCAAGCUGAGGAAAUCUUGCUCCAAUACUCCGAUAGUUCUAGAGGAUGUAUCCAAGGAGGACACUUGAAAUUUGAUGAUGAUCCUAUCUUUAAUCAUCUGUUGUUUUCAUUUGCUCUUCUACUGUCAUCAUCGUCCUCAUGUAGACGCUCUGUAAGAAAAAGAUGUCCUGGAAUGAAAGCCUCCCUGAGGCACAAAACAAGAAGUGGCUCUAUAUUUUCAGCUGCUUUGGAAGCAUAUGUCCCGUCGAAUUCCCACGUUUUGUGCUGGACUCAGAUGCAGAUCUUGAAAAUCAUGGGUUUUGCGAUCCUCGAGGCUUACGGUGCAUGUACUUUGCAUGAAAUCUCGUGUUGCUCCAUUAAAGACAAUUACUGUUCCUAAGCUGGAGCUUUGUGGUACAGAUCUCUUAGCUAGAGUUAUGCAUGAGGAGUUGACAGCUUCCAGCCGACAUUCUCUGCAGAGGUGUUCUUCCCUCUGAGCUCUACGAGUUGCCGGUCUGUUACCGUCCUUUCUAAUCGGGUCGGAGAGAGAUUGGCUAUCUGCUAGUCUCACUGGGAGGCCGCUUGAGCUUCGUUAAAGCGUCAUACCGGCCCUUGGGCUCUUCUUGGUAUAAUUCUUUCCACAUAUUGGCCUAUUGGUGAAAAAAGACUGUGACUGUGCCCCGAAUAGACGCGUAUGAUGUUUUCGGAAUAAACCUCGUCACACCUCGGAACCCAUUAUGGCGGAUCUUCCGAGGGACCGUCUUGACGGAUCGCAUACCUUUCAGUUCACUGGAGUCGAUUUCUGUGAGCCGGAGGCUCGAAACAAGGCCCCGAUAAAGUGCUACGUCCGCGAAUUUAUCAGCUUUGCAACCUAGACUGGGCAUCUAUAGUUAUUCAAGGACCUCUCCACAGCCGUUUUUAAUACUAGACUUUUAGUAUCACUUUCAGAGAGCCCCGCUGAUCUGGGGUCUGCUGAAAGCCUGACCUCUGACCUGACCUGGGCGAAGCAUGUCGGGCCACGCAGCCGGCAGCAUUAAACGAGACCAAGUGUAAUAGUUAAGAUUAAAGUACAUCUAUCAUAGUUUCCUCCUCCUCCAGCAUUAAACGAGACCAAGUGUAAUAGUUAAGAUUAAAGUAAAUCUAUCAUAGUUUCCUCCUUGCUCAUUUAUUUUCUUAUUUAUAUAAGCAAACAUCUUUGUACUGAGCGUUUGGAGAGACAAACUCUCUUAGCUUUGAGCUCAGUCUUCUACAUACUCCGCCUGCAUACAAACGUUUUCGCUGUCAAAUAAAGUUCAAUAAACCAAGAAUAUUAUCUGAACAAUAUCAGAAUAUUAUCUGAACAGCUGACACGUAGCUCCGGAAAUGGGCAACAAGCCACCCAACGGUUAUAAGUCACAUUCUUGCAGCUGAUUUUAUUGCAAAACGUCCAUGUUCGAAAGGCACAACAGACACUCACUAAAGACACUUGGCUUGUACUACAGCCCAGUAACGACGUCUAUGCUUUCCAAAUCAAUUUCAAGAUCAAUCCUACCCAUUCUAAACGAUCACUCUUAUCCAAAGUGGUACGUACUUUUGACCCAUUGGGGUUCUUAACGCCCGUGAUCGUCAUGUCAAAGAUCCCCCUAAAAGACUUAUGGACCUUCCGCGAUCAGCAAAACGAAGACGGUUACCAAGCACAUCGAACAGCUCCCUGAUAUCCAACAAAUCCAUGUCGCACGCUGGCUUGGAUUCUACUUAAACAAAGUUGUCUCUCUCCAGUUACAUAUGUUUUCCGAUGGAUCGUCCUCCGCAUUUGCAACGUGCGCAUACCUAUCGGCAGCCGACCAAACUCGCUACAUGGAUCCAGAAGCAGCUGCACGUUCCAAAUGAUACCCGUCUCUGUAUACUACUGCACUAU
This is a long non-coding RNA of Drosophila simulans, 2336 nucleotides long. RefSeq lists it as uncharacterized. The transcript has 3 exons. Lineage: Eukaryota; Metazoa; Arthropoda; Insecta; Diptera; Drosophilidae. The record is from RefSeq and is a predicted model, not a curated record.